This is a transfer RNA of 104 nucleotides. It matches the Rfam family "tRNA". Rfam says of the family: Transfer RNA (tRNA) molecules are approximately 80 nucleotides in length. The record is from Rfam.
GCCGGGAUAGUUCAGUGGUAGAAUUCUCGCUUCGGGUUUGCCCCAGCACGAGCAAAACGUGCCUGAAGUGUGAGAGGUCCUGGGUUCAACUCCCAGUUUCGGCC